This 497-nucleotide ribosomal RNA is filed under the name uncultured bacterium. Its description in RNAcentral is "partial 16S ribosomal RNA". It matches the Rfam family "Bacterial small subunit ribosomal RNA", at positions 28 to 507 of the family's 1533-position model. The record is from RNAcentral.
GAUGAACGCUGGCGGCGUGCCUAAUACAUGCAAGUCGAGCGAACAGAUAAGGAGCUUGCUCCUUUGACGUUAGCGGCGGACGGGUGAGUAACACGUAGGUAACCUACCUAUAAGACUGGAAUAACUCCGGGAAACCGGGGCUAAUGCCGGAUAACAUUUAGAACCGCAUGGUUCUAAAGUGAAAGAUGGUUUUGCUAUCACUUAUAGAUGGACCCGCGCCGUAUUAGCUAGUUGGUAAGGUAACGGCUUACCAAGGCAACGAUACGUAGCCGACCUGAGAGGGUGAUCGGCCACACUGGAACUGAGACACGGUCCAGACUCCUACGGGAGGCAGCAGUAGGGAAUCUUCCGCAAAGGGCGAAAGCCUGACGGAGCAACGCCGCGUGAGUGAUGAAGGUCUUCGGAUCGUAAAACUCUGUUAUUAGGGAAGAACAAAUGUGUAAGUAACUGUGCACGUCUUGACGGUACCUAAUCAGAAAGCCACGGCUAACUACGUG